GAUGAACGCUGGCGGCGUGCCUAAUACAUGCAAGUCGAGCGAACAGACGAGGAGCUUGCUCCUCUGACGUUAGCGGCGGACGGGUGAGUAACACGUGGAUAACCUACCUAUAAGACUGGGAUAACUUCGGGAAACCGGAGCUAAUACCGGAUAAUAUAUUGAACCGCAUGGUUCAAUAGUGAAAUACGGUUUUGCUGUCACUUAUAGAUGGAUCCGCGCCGCAUUAGCUAGUUGGUAAGGUAACGGCUUACCAAGGCAACGAUGCGUAGCCGACCUGAGAGGGUGAUAGGCCACACUGGAACUGAGACACGGUCCAGACUACUACGGGAGGCAGCAGUAGGGAAUCGUCCGCAAUGGGCGAAAGCCUGACGGAGCAACGCCGCGUGAGUGAUGAAGGUCUUCGGAUCGUAAAACUCUGUUAUUAGGGAAGAACAAAUGUGUAAGUAACUAUGCACGUCUUGACGGUACCUAAUCAGAAAGCCACGGCUAACUACGUG
Molecule: ribosomal RNA, 497 nt
Filed under: uncultured bacterium
Lineage: Bacteria
Description: partial 16S ribosomal RNA
Rfam family: Bacterial small subunit ribosomal RNA
Source: RNAcentral